ACAUACGACCAUAGGGUGUGGAAAACAGGGCUUCCCGUCCGCUCAGCCUUCCUUAAGCCACACGCCGGUGAGUUAGUAGUUGGGUGGGUGACCACCAGCGAAUCCUCACUGUUGUAUGUUU
This 121-nucleotide ribosomal RNA is filed under the name Penicillium nalgiovense. Lineage: Eukaryota; Fungi; Ascomycota; Eurotiomycetes; Eurotiales; Aspergillaceae. The record is from RNAcentral.